This 459-nucleotide long non-coding RNA is filed under the name Homo sapiens (human). RNAcentral describes it as "HSALNT0406343". The record is from RNAcentral. Lineage: Eukaryota; Metazoa; Chordata; Mammalia; Primates; Hominidae.
UCUCCUGACCCUGUCAGGGUGAAGGAAGGGGAGACCCUGUUGGCAUCACAAGAGAAUCUGGGUCAAGCCAUGCCUGAAGCUGGUCAAUCCAGGGCCCUCUGCAUUUUAGGAGCCAGUUUUGUGAAAUUUCCCUCUGAGGCUGCUACUCUGAUGGUUGGUGUUUCUGGACUGACUGCAAGAGGCCAUCCUGGUGGGGCUGGACCCCCUUAGCUCUGGCUGAUGAAGCCACUGCUCGGGACACCCAGAAUCUUGGCUCCUCCAGGCAAACAGGUUUCCAGUCCCGCUGCUGACGACCUUCUCAUUGGCAUUGAAAAAGAGCGUUUUCGGCUCCCUGCUCAGACGCUGGCGGCUUCUGGGUGACAAGCGGCUGUCAGAUGCUUUUAACAAGACUUAGGUUUUAGCGGGUCAAUCAAGGUACCGACCGGACCAGGUUUGGGAUAAUUAGGUCCUUCAAAAAGG